GUCCACGCCCUAAACGAUGUCAACUGGUUGUUGGGUCUUCACUGACUCAGUAACGAAGCUAACGCGUGAAGUUGGCCGCCUGGGGAGUACGGCCGCAAGGUUUAAACUCAAAGGAAUUGACGGGGACCCGCACAAGCGGUGGAUGAUGUGGUUUAAUUCGAUGCAACGCGAAAAACCUUACCCACCUUUGACAUGUACGGAAUCCUUUAGAGAUAGAGGAGUGCUCGAAAGAGAGCCGUAACACAGGUGCUGCAUGGCUGUCGU
RNAcentral lists this ribosomal RNA (264 nucleotides) under uncultured bacterium. RNAcentral's name for it is "partial 16S ribosomal RNA". It matches the Rfam family "Bacterial small subunit ribosomal RNA", at positions 793 to 1055 of the family's 1533-position model. The record is from RNAcentral.